This 761-nucleotide ribosomal RNA is filed under the name uncultured bacterium. RNAcentral's name for it is "bacterial SSU rRNA". It matches the Rfam family "Bacterial small subunit ribosomal RNA", at positions 91 to 836 of the family's 1533-position model. The record is from RNAcentral.
ACAAGUGGCGAACUGGUGAGUAACACGUGGCGUAACCUGCCCUUGAAGUAGGGGAUAACACUUGGAAACAGGUGCUAAUACCGUAUAACAACCAAGACCACCUGGUUUUGGUUUAAAAGACGGCUUCGGCUGUCACUUUAGGAUGGACCCGCGGCGCAUUAGCUUGUUGGUAAGGUAACGGCUUACCAAGGCGAUGAUACGUAGCCGACCUGAGAGGGUAAUCGGCCACAUUGGGACUGUGACACGGCCCAAACUCCUACGGGAGGCAGCAGUAGGGAAUCUUCCACAAUGGACGAAAGUCUGAUGGAGCAACGCCGCGUGAGUGAUGAAGGGUUUCGGCUCGUAAAACUCUGUUGUUGGAGAAGAACAGGUGUCAGAGUAACUGUUGACAUCUUGACGGUAUCCAACCAGAAAGCCACGGCUAACUACGUGCCAGCAGCCGCGGUAAUACGUAGGUGGCAAGCGUUGUCCGGAUUUAUUGGGCGUAAAGCGAGCGCAGGCGGUUUUUUAGGUCUGAUGUGAAAGCCUUCGGCUUAACCGGAGAAGUGCAUCGGAAACCGGGAGACUUGAGUGCGGAAGAGGACAGUGGAACUCCAUGUGUAGCGGUGAAAUGCGUAGAUAUAUGGAAGAACACCAGUGGCGAAGGCGGCUGUCUGGUCUGUAACUGACGCUGAGGCUCGAAAGCAUGGGUAGCGAACAGGAUUAGAUACCCUGGUAGUCCAUGCCGUAAACGAUGAGUGCUAAGUGUUGGAGGGUUUCCG